AGAGUUUGAUCCUGGCUCAGGAUGAACUCUGGCGGCGUGCCUAACACAUGCAAGUCGAACGGGAACCCUUGGAUUCGUCUGAGGGGGAGAGUGGCGAACGGGUGAGUAACACGUGGGUGACCUGCCUCAAAGACAGGGAUAACUGCUGGAAACGGCAGCUAAUACCUGAUAGUCUCGCUGAUUCGGUUCAGUGAGUAAAGGCUGAGGCGCUUUGAGAGGGACCUGCGGCCCAUCAGCUAGUUGGUAGGGUAAAGGCCUACCAAGGCGAAGACGGGUAGGGGACGUGAGAGCGUGACCCCCCACACUGGGACUGAGACACGGCCCAGACUCCUACGGGAGGCAGCAGUGAGGAAUAUUGCGCAAUGAGCGAAAGCUAGACGCAGCAACGCCGCGUGGGUGAAGAAGGCCUUCGGGUCGUAAAACCCUUUUCUGAGGGAAGAGCAAGGACGGUACCUCAGGAAUAAGUCUCGGCUAACUAUGUGCCAGCAGCCGCGGUAAGACAUAGGAGGCGAGCGUUAUCCGGAUUUAUUGGGCGUAAAGUGCGUUGAGGCGGUCUCGUAAGUUGGACGUGAAAGCUCCUGGCUUAACUGGGAGAGGUCGUUCAAUACUGCGAGGCUUGAGGGCAGUAGUGCGAAGGCGGCCCCCUGGACUGUUUCUGACGCUGAAGGCGAAAGCUAGGGUAGCAAACGGGAUUAGAAACCCCGGUAGUCCUAGCCGUAAACGAUGGAUACUAGGUGUGGGAGGUUAAAAAUCCUUCUGUGCCGGAGCAAACGCGUUAAGUAUCCCGCCUGGGGAGUACGGCCGCAAGGCUAAAACUCAAAGGAAUUGACGGGUCUCCGCACAAGCGGCGGAGCGUGUGGUUCAAUUCGAUAUAACGCGAAGAACCUUACCAGGGCUUGACAUGCAGGUAGUAGUGAAGCGAAAGCGGAACGAUCCUUAGGGAAGCCUGCACAGGUGCUGCAUGGCUGUCGUCAGCUCGUGCCGUGAGGUGUUCCCUUAAGUGGGGUAACGAGCGCAACCCUUACUGUUAGUUACAAGUGUCUAGCGGAACUGCCCGGUCAAACUGGGAGGAAGGUGGGGAUGACGUCAAGUCAGCAUGGCCUUUAUGUCCUGGGCUACACACACGCUACAAUGGCCGGUACAAUGGGUAGCCAAACCGCGAGGUGGAGCCAAUCCUACAAAGCCGGUCUCAGUUCGAAUUGCAGGCUGCAACUCGCCUGCAUGAAGUUGGAGUUGCUAGUAACCGCAGGUCAGCACACUGCGGUGAAUACGUUCCCGGAGAUUGUACACACCGCCCGUCACGUCAUGGGAGCUGGUAACACCUGAAGCCAGUGGGCUAACCGAAAGGGGGCAGCUGUCGAAGGUGGGACUGGUGACUGGGACGAAGUCGUAACAAGGUA
Molecule: ribosomal RNA, 1400 nt
Filed under: metagenome
Description: bacterial SSU rRNA
Rfam family: Bacterial small subunit ribosomal RNA
Source: RNAcentral